AAAGUACUCCCUCCGUCCCAAAAUUCUUGUCUUAUAUUUGUCUAGAUACGGAUGUAUCAAGUCACAUUUUAGUAUUAGAUACAUCCGUAUCUAGACAAAUCUAAGACAAGAAAUUUGGGACAGAGGGAGUAGUUG
This is a non-coding RNA of Triticum aestivum (bread wheat), 135 nucleotides long. The record is from Rfam. Lineage: Eukaryota; Viridiplantae; Streptophyta; Magnoliopsida; Poales; Poaceae.